AUAUCAAAAUUUUACAACAAAAUAAUAAUAAAAGGUAUAAAGGCCUUGGGCUAGACUGGACCAUUUCAAAGUGGACUGGACUACUCUUAAGAUCUAGGGGCUUAAAGGUUGGAUCUUGAGUGAAUGCAACCCAAAUUUAUUCAGUUCAAUGUCAAAUUGUGUCUCCGUGUCCGAUCGUUAUUGGAGUUUGAGGUACUGCUAUUAUGAUAUAAGUAUUUUGUUAUGUGUGAGCUUGCAUCGAAGAAGUACUUCCGGAGCGAGUAAGGCAGACUCAAUUGAUCUUUUCUAGAAUUUCCAUUGAUAGAUUAGAGGGUCCUCGCGCCCUACAUAACCUUCUAUCUAAAUCCAUAUUUUUAGUAAGCUAAAGUUGUAUCAUGUUAUAUCUAAUCACCUUUUGUGAUAUUUCUUCAACCUACCUCUACUUCUCCUAAACUUACCAAAGUAAAUCUCUCACACCUCUGCACCGAGAGACUCACACAUCUCUUUUUCACAUGUUUGAACAACCUUAGCUUCACCUCGUCAUCUUGUCCUCUGUCGAGGCCACAACAGAAAGAAAAAAAAAAGAAUAAAGACCUUGAUAAGGUAGGACCAAGUAAAAGUGGGCUGGAUUUUAUUCCUAAGAUCAAGGGGCUUAAGGUUGGACCUUGACUUUAAAACUUUAUAAGGAAAGCCCAAAGACAAAAAAGAGUCACUAUCACUUCACUAAAUUGGAGGUUUCAACUUCAUUGGAUUGGACCACCUUUUCUAGUUCUAAUUAAUUCCAAGUUGACAACCCAACUAAAUCCUUCAACUCUUUCUUCAUUUCUAAUCGAAUCACUAUAAAAUAAAAUAUUUUGAAACUCUCUUUAUUACUCAAUUGUCUUUUUGUCCCUUUCUGAUGUAAUAAAUGUUGGUCAAAGCCCUUCUUUUCAAGGUAAUCCUUGACUUAAAUUAGACUAACAACCCCCAACCCCACCCCCACACCAAAGAAAGCCAAUUCACUCAACUUUUACAAGUACAAGUAUGUUAACAUUGCUUAACCCUGAAUUUUCUCAGUUUGAAGUUGAAGCACUUUCACUACAUUAAAAAUGAUUAUUAGCAAAAAUUAAUUAAUAAUAAU
This 1099-nucleotide long non-coding RNA is filed under the name Solanum tuberosum (potato). RNAcentral's name for it is "long non-coding RNA (STUB_LNC007738)". The record is from RNAcentral. Lineage: Eukaryota; Viridiplantae; Streptophyta; Magnoliopsida; Solanales; Solanaceae.